This is a long non-coding RNA of Ailuropoda melanoleuca (giant panda), 906 nucleotides long. RefSeq lists it as uncharacterized. The record is from RefSeq and is a predicted model, not a curated record. NCBI's taxonomy places the organism in Eukaryota, Metazoa, Chordata, Mammalia, Carnivora, Ursidae. The transcript is spliced from 3 exons.
CCGAGCUGGAUGGGCUUGGGGCACUUAACCUCCCUGAGCCCCACGUGCCUCAGCUGUAGAAGGGGCGUCGUACCCCCGGUGCGCGGUUUCCGGGACCACUGAGUCAGCCCAAGAGUGGACGAGUUCUUCGCUGACCUCACGGCCACAGGGGACACUCGGAGAGCUUGAAGGAUGGGUCAGAGCUGCCGGAAGCACGGAGUGGCAGAGGAAUGGGAGACCAGAUGAGAAAAGGAAAGACCCACCCAGUCACCCCGCAGAGACAGGACUCAACACCAGGUCAGCCUGACCCCGAAGCUGAGGAUCUUAACCACGGACGGUAAUGCUUCCAGGCCCUGCUUUUUACCCAGAAGAUGCAGCACCUCGCGUUUAUCACCAGCAGAGCGAUGACUUCCAACUACGUUUACAAAUGUGAAGAAAAGAUUUACAAAUACAAGUAUAAAUGUAUUCUGUUUACAAACAGGGUAAUGGAAAUGCUGUUUGAAAGUUUAGAAAAACACACACUAAGGGAAAAGAAAGACAACUCAAAACCAAAUUUACAAAUCGCUCAUAUAAUAGUAAGAGCGAGAACUAUAUAUUAUGACAAAAGAUGAAAACUCAGCAGAAAAACUAGCAAAGGGUGUGAUUAGAAAGCUGAGGAAAAGAAGUUGCACAGAUGGCCCAAAAUAAAUGGAAAAAAAGUUUAAACUUUCUAAGUAAAGAAAGAGAAACUGGAGCAAGAAAGGAUUUUGGAAAAUGACAAAAGCCUCUGUUGGGAAUGCUGUGGGGGGGGAUGGUGAGGAGGACACUUUGGUCUGCUGGGAUGUGGAGUGUAAAUGCUUUUGAGGACAAGACCCUUUUUGGGGCACUUUUUAGCCUUAAAAAUAUGUAUAAUCCUUGACUGUUAAAAUUUCAGUUCUAGGGACUGAC